This 440-nucleotide ribosomal RNA is filed under the name uncultured bacterium. RNAcentral's name for it is "partial 16S ribosomal RNA". It matches the Rfam family "Bacterial small subunit ribosomal RNA", at positions 338 to 795 of the family's 1533-position model. The record is from RNAcentral.
CCUACGGGAGGCAGCAGUGGGGGAUAUUGCACAAUGGGGGAAACCCUGAUGCAGCGACGCCGCGUGUAGGAAGACGGUCCUCUGGAUUGUAAACUACUGUCGCCGGGGAGGAAGAUGACGGUACCUGGGGAGGAAGCUCCGGCUAACUACGUGCCAGCAGCCGCGGUAAUACGUAGGGAGCGAGCGUUGUCCGGAAUUACUGGGUGUAAAGGGAGCGUAGGCGGGGAUGCAAGUUGGGUGUUAAAUCGACGGGCUCAACUGGUAGUCGCCUUUGAAACUGCAGCGCUUGAGUGGAGGAGAGGUAGGCGGAAUGCCUGGUGUAGCGGUGAAAUGCGUAGAUAUUAGGGAGAACACCGGUGGCGAAGGCAGCCUGCUGGGCUGUUACUGACGCUGAGGCUCGAAAGUGUGGGGAGCAAACAGGAUUAGAUACCCUUGUAGUC